This 224-nucleotide unclassified non-coding RNA is filed under the name Hevea brasiliensis (rubber tree). The record is from RNAcentral. Lineage: Eukaryota; Viridiplantae; Streptophyta; Magnoliopsida; Malpighiales; Euphorbiaceae.
GAAUCGAAAUCAGGAUCGUGCCGAUCACCGCGAGCAAGAUGGCGAUCGGAUAGCUGAUGCCGAGCGUCUUCAGCGCAUACGAUGCAAGAUAGCCCCCGAUCAUCAUCGCGAAAGCGCCAUGGGCGAGAUUCACCACGCGCAUCAGUCCCAUCAUGAUCGACAGACCGAUGGAAAUCGUGAACAGCACCAUCCCGUAGGAAAUCGCGUCCAGCAGGAUGCUCAGC